AGCAGCCGCGGUAAUUCCAGCUCCAAUAGCGUAUAUUAAAGUUGUUGCAGUUAAAAAGCUCGUAGUUGAAUUUCGGGAUCAAUAUAUCGGUCGUGCCUUGGUACGUACUGGUAUCAUUGGUUUCUCCUUUCUGACGAACCAUGAUGUCAUUAAUUUGGUGUUAUGGGAAGUUAGGACUGUUACUUUGAAAAAUUAGAGUGUUUAAAGCAGGCUUUGGCUUGAAUACAUUAGCAUGGAAUAAUGAAAUAGGACGUUCGAACCUAUUUUGUUGGUUUCUAGGAUCAACGUAAUGAUUAAUAGGGAUAGUUGGGGGCAUUAGUAUUCAAUUGUCAGAGGUGAAAUUCUUGGAUUUAUUGAAGACUAACUACCGCGAAAGCAUUUGCCAAGGAUGUUUUCAUUAAUCAAGAACGAAAGUUAGGGGAUCGAAGACGAUCAGAUACCGUCGUAGUCUUAACCAUAAACUAUGCCGACUAGGGAUCGGAUGAUGUUAAUUUUUUAAUGACUCAUUCGGCGCCUUACG
Molecule: unclassified non-coding RNA, 520 nt
Filed under: uncultured Glomus
Lineage: Eukaryota; Fungi; Glomeromycota; Glomeromycetes; Glomerales; Glomeraceae
Description: SSU rRNA
Rfam family: Eukaryotic small subunit ribosomal RNA
Source: RNAcentral